AGAAAACAGAUCUCAAUUUCAAAUAGACCUUGAUUAUGCAAAAAUACAUUAAUGGGAUCAGAACGGUCAAUUCAAUCAAAAAGUAAUGUCACAACAUCAUAAUGAUAAAUCAAAGGCUGAAGAACUGCCGACCCUGUCUAAGUCUUCUACCAAUCUUCUCUUUGCUGACUUAGUUCUGUAACACCAAACCUCAAAAGCUUCACUCAAGUCAGGAUACGUAACCUGGUCCGCAUUCAUCCAAUCAGCCAAAAUAUUAGCUUG
Molecule: unclassified non-coding RNA, 261 nt
Filed under: Hevea brasiliensis (rubber tree)
Lineage: Eukaryota; Viridiplantae; Streptophyta; Magnoliopsida; Malpighiales; Euphorbiaceae
Source: RNAcentral